Molecule: long non-coding RNA, 968 nt
Filed under: Homo sapiens (human)
Lineage: Eukaryota; Metazoa; Chordata; Mammalia; Primates; Hominidae
Description: HSALNT0313340
Source: RNAcentral
AUUUGAGAAUGAAGCUCAGCUGAAGUUUGAACAGCAUACUGACAUAUACCAACAAGAAUGAAAAUAACUUAACAGCAAUUUUAUAAAUUCACAUCCCCCAGAGCACCACAGAGUAAAGAAAUACUGCAUAUGGGUAACAACUGGUUCUUAGUUACUAAAUCUGAAAGAUCAAAUACAGUUAAUUACAUAAGCUUCUCUUGAGUUUUUCUGGGGGAAUAUACCAGGAGACCAUAAUCAAGGUUUCUGGUAUUGCACUAAACACGAUGAAAAACAGGAGAGAACGGAGAGGGAUCAUGUUUUACCACAAUAUGCAAUUUAUGGGAGAGAUGAAGCGCUCAGGUGGAGAUGACUAGUGUCACGUGGUGUUUUAAGUGGAUACUCACAACGCUGGAACUCACAGCAAUAACAACAAGAGAUCCUCUAUAGACUGUUGAUGUAUAGCCAUGAGAAAAAAAAAAGAAAAAUUUUUGCUCUCAAUGAGCUUGCAUUUAAGCAUCUAUAAAAGGUGAGAUUAAUAUUUACUCAGUGAACUUUGAGUAAAGCAUUGGGUGCUUCAUUAUGUGGAGGAGUCUCAUCCAAUCAGUUGAAGGUGACUGAAUGGAACUAUAGAUCGACCUCACAUAAAUGAGAGGGAAUUCUGCAACAGAUCAUCUUUGCCUUUGAACUGCAGCAUGGACUCCCCUCUGGGUCUCCUGCCUGCCAGCCCACCCUGCAGAGUGCAUUUGCCAGCCUCCACAAUCAGCUAAUGAUAUCUUAAGUUAGAACAUCAUGCCAAGAGAAGUAUGUUUUCAACCAAGAAAGCAAAAUCAACAUGAUCCUAAAUGAACUGCUUCUGCAUGUCAACAGUCUUGAUAUACCUGAGAGAGUGAGAUACAGAGUAUGUUGUUAAACUUUUUAUAAUUACAAAUAUUGCUUGUAUUUCUUUUGAAAUUUGCCACACGCUGAUAUUAAAAAUAAUAGAUAGAAAA